RNAcentral lists this Y RNA (111 nucleotides) under Pan paniscus (pygmy chimpanzee). RNAcentral describes it as "Y RNA (ENSPPAG00000012372.1)". It matches the Rfam family "Y RNA". From Rfam's summary of the family: Y RNAs are components of the Ro ribonucleoprotein particle (Ro RNP), in association with Ro60 and La proteins. The record is from Rfam by way of RNAcentral. Lineage: Eukaryota; Metazoa; Chordata; Mammalia; Primates; Hominidae.
GGCCAGUCAGAAGGUAGUGAGUUAUCUCAAUUGAUUGUUCACAUCAGUUACAGGUCAAACUCCUUGCUCUACUCUUUCCCUUUUCUCGCUGCUGCACUGGACUAGUCUAAU